UAUGGAUAAUUGGUUUCGGAUUUAUGUAUUUAUACAUAGUGGUUUUCUAUCCCUCGAGGUAGUCGGUUUUCAAAAUAGAGUUUCCGUGUGGGAAACAGUUUUAAAGGAAUGGUUUUAUGAAUGAUUAAUUAGAGUUUAAAAAUCAAAGCUUCUGGAUGGAGAGCACUUUUAAAUAGGAUGCUUGUUGUACUGUGCACUACAUCAUCCAGCGCCUAAGGAGUGCUUAGAGACAUGCAUCAUCUCUAAGGAUCGCUAGCUGUAUGUAAAUGCAUCGCAUAUAUUAGUUGUUGAUUGGUGAAUGUAGGUUGUGGUUAAAAUCCUGAUAUAUUGUUGGUACGCCGUGCAAAUACAAAGGAGACUCUAUCCGAGUGGAUAGAGGAACUUU
This 385-nucleotide long non-coding RNA is filed under the name Ananas comosus (pineapple). Its description in RNAcentral is "long non-coding RNA (ACOM_LNC026654)". Lineage: Eukaryota; Viridiplantae; Streptophyta; Magnoliopsida; Poales; Bromeliaceae. The record is from RNAcentral.